CUGUCUUACUAUACUGGCCAAAGACAUGCCCAAGUUGGUGGCAAUGCAGACCCCACAAGACCGCCACAAAGUCAUCAUUAUCCUUGACGGUGAAGGCCUCAGUCAUCGUCAAAUAGCACAGCCGACUGGUGUGUCUGUCUCUAACGUAUGAAUGGGUCUGCAGACAUAUGGCCACAGGCUCCACUAGUGACAGGCCUCAAAGCCUUGCAGCAGAUUUUUAACAGUGUAAUCACAGCAGGGGUGCAUAGACUCAUUAUUAAAUAGAUACCUAUCAUCCUCAUAUAUCGUAUAGCUAUGGUGCAGUAUGUGCUUUACGUAUUAAUUUUGCCAGAUAUUAUAAUUCUGUAUACUUUUACCGGUAAUUAUGGUUCUAUACCACCACCUAGAGUUAUCAUUGACUCAAUUAAAUAAGGAUGAGGUCAGCCCCAGCAUUUAAACUGCCUGAGAAUGGUCCAUGUUAUUAAGGAUGUACCAAUACCAAAAUUUUUACCGAUACCGAUACCCCAAUAUUUGACCUAUACUUGUGCAUUAAUUUUUUUAUACAAUAAUUCCAGCAGCUAAAAGGCAAUAUCAAAUGUUAAUAAAAAAAAACACUACUCAUUGUUCCCCCAUAGAAGGGAAGAAAAAGGAAAGUACAUUAGUACUCUUAAAAUGUGCCGAUACCACCCAUACCGAUACAUCCCUACAUGUUAUCAAGGGUUUCUGCACCCAAGCACACACACACACACACACACACACACACACACACUUAACAUGGCUUUGGUAGGAGUUGUGGGCCUUUCCACGGCUAGUGUUUUGACCCUGGUGGGAGUCUGACAAGGCUUCUGUACCCAUAACUCUAAAAACUCCUGAGAACACAUUUUCCUCUUUUUUGGCAUUUAGUCGGAAGCGUCUCAGAAUAGCGAUCAAUGUCCUGAGUGGAAUGGCUGACAAAAUAAUUGCAUCCACACCACAGUCUCAUAAUAACUGUCAAUAAUCUCUGUAAUGCAUUGAGGACCUAAUGUCAGUGACUCUGAGCUGAGUUAGUUAGCACAAGAAUGACAUCUUGCAUACGAACAAGCACCCUUACGCUCAAGAAUUAUCAAUUAGUAUAGUACGCUUACGUCAACGAUGUAUUCACAGCAUAUGAGCAAUGCAUUAUCUCGUCAAGGCUCAUCAGUGCACUUGUGAUCCUGAGUCACUGGCACCUCUCUCCUUCACUGAGCUUGGGUACACAGGGCUAACACGUAGUUUGGAAAGUUUUGUUUAGUGGGCAGGGGACAGGGGCGUAGGGUAUCAGAAAAGCCGCCUAAUUUUUUCCACUCCACCCGGGAAUCGAACCCGGGCUCUCUUGGUUGUGAGCCGAGUGUGCUAACCACUGCUUAUCGUGUAGCAGCGACGGGCCAAAUUUGUGGCUUAUUGUGUAGCAGUGACGGGCCAAAUUUGUGGCUUAUCGUGUAGCAGCGACGGGCCAAAUUUGUGGCUUAUUGUGUAGCAGUGACGGGCCAAAUUUGUGGCUUAUCGUGUAGCAGCGACGGGCUAAAUUUGUGGCUUAUUGUGUAGCAGUGACGGGCUAAAUUUGUGGCUUAUUGUGUAGCAGUGACGGGCCAAAUUUGUGGCUUAUUGUGUAGCAGUGACGGGCCAAAUUUGUGGCUUAUUGUGUAGCAGCGACGGGCCAAAUUUGUGUCUUUACCGUGUAGCAGCGACGGGCAAAAUUUGUGCCAUGAUUUAAACCCCCCAAAACAGAUGAUACAUAAUCUGAUCACAAAUGCUUUGAUAUAUAUUAUGAAAUGGUUUGUGUGAGGGGUGAUUUUUUCUCAUUUUUCUCGCUUGGAGGGACCAUUAAGAAACAUGAUCCCCGCUGCUACCGGGAUAAACCUCUCAAGGUGACACUACCAAUGGCUCUGAAGGAAUAAGGCACAGGACUUUUAUUGCAGAACCUGUGCAGGGACCAGAACUGACCACUACAUCAAUAAAACUACCACUGGUGUCAUCAAACUACCCCUGGAAAUACCGAGAACUCCAACAAAAGUCUUCUCAAAUGAGUGUUUCACAGGUUCAUGGUACAGAACAAGGGUCUCUCUACCACCAGUGUCAUAAAACUACCCCUGGAAAUACCGAGAACUCCAACAAAAGUCUUCUCAAAAGUGUGUUUUUUGGUUCAUGGUACAGCAGCAGGGUCACACUACCAGCAGGGUCAUCAAACUACCUCUGGAAAUGCUGCAAACCUUCAUGAAAGCCUCGUCAAAUGUGUGUUUCUUAGGUUUAUGGUACAGAAGGAGGGUGUCUCUCUACCACCAGGGUCAUACAAGUGCAGCAUACAAUAACUAAUGAGGGAGUCACCUAUAUGCCUGAUGGAGGUCACAAAAUCUGCAGUCAUAACCAGCUUCCCAGGAUUCAGAAUACCCAGGCUAAGACAUUAGUGGCAACAGCUCCAUACCAUAGUGCCCUGAUACUGCCGCUUCAUGCCAUAUAGCAUAGUAAGACACACUCGUAGGACUCGACGGAACUUUUAUUAGUAUUCAUUUUAUCAGUUAUUAUUAUUCGUAUAUAUUAAUCUGUGCUUUAAAAGGUCAAGUAAGUUCAGCGCACACAAGUUUUGGCUGGAAAUACUUGUGGUUGAGGCUGACAUUUUAUCCUAGCCAUAGAAGUGGACCCAUAGUUAUGGAGGGAUUUUUUCAGGCUCAAAAAGUAGACUUGUACACUAAAAUUUAGGUCAUAUCUUCUUCAUCUGCUAUCUAACUCUACCUGGUAUUAUAAUUUGCUAUGUAACUCUACCUGCUACAUAUUCUAUUUGGUAUUAUAAUCUGCUCUCGUAUUCCAGCAUCCAUCUUGCUCUCUCGUGGUACAGAGGAGAAUUAUCUGUGCCAUUACCAAGAUGGCACGUGCCGCCACCAUGCCAGUUAACCUCUGAGGGUGCCACGGCCCUGCUGUCAAGAUCCUGGGGCGGUAUACACAAACGUUCUUAGCAUCGCUAAGUGCACUUAACGGCACAGAAUCGUUAAGUUUUCUACUUAAAAUGGCGCCGGGCCGCUUAGCGCUGGAGCUGGAGCACUUAGCGGGCGGAAAAUUUAAGGCGGGGAAGGGGCUCCCAUAGCACCGUUAAAAAUGUAUAAGUAUUGCAAAAUAGUUUGACCCUUCCUCUGUACCCUGAACCUAAAGAAACACAUAUUUGGCAAGGCUUUCCUAGGAGUCUUUGACAUUUCCAGGAGUAUAGUUUUAUGACCAGGUGGUAGUUUGACCCUUCCUCUGUACCCUGAACCUAAAGAAACACAUAUUUGGCAAGGCUUUCCUAGGAGUCUUUGACAUUUCCAGGAGUAUAGUUUUAUGACCAGGUGGUAGUUUGACCCUUCCUCUGUACCCUGAACCUAAAGAAACACUCAUUAGAACCCGAUUGCCCCCUCUUUGACCUUCAGAAAUACAGAACAUAGUUGACAUGAGAAGCAAAAGUGUCUUAUAAUACCAAUCCCAGGAUAUAGUUAAUAUUGUGUCAUCAAAACCCAGAUUAAAUUCAAACCUCUCCUGCGUCCAUCCCACUCUGAUUGGGCUCAUGUUAACGCCUCCCUGCACUGUGACGCCUUGUUUAAGAGCCCCCGAGCCAAGAAGGACGGAACAGAGAGGGAGAAAGCUGCUGCUGAGAGGGAGAAAAUAUAAGAAAGAUUUUAAUGGAAGCGGCCAAGAUAGAUAAUGGAGAGAGAGAGAGAGAGAGAGAGAGAGAGAGAGAGAGAGAGAGAGAGAGAGAGAGAGAGAGAGAGAGAGAGA
Eriocheir sinensis (Chinese mitten crab) is the source of this 3741-nucleotide long non-coding RNA. RefSeq lists it as uncharacterized. The transcript has 2 exons. The record is from RefSeq and is a predicted model, not a curated record. Lineage: Eukaryota; Metazoa; Arthropoda; Malacostraca; Decapoda; Varunidae.